RNAcentral lists this ribosomal RNA (230 nucleotides) under Evynnis tumifrons (yellowback seabream). RNAcentral describes it as "Dentex tumifrons (yellowback seabream) partial 16S ribosomal RNA". The record is from RNAcentral. Lineage: Eukaryota; Metazoa; Chordata; Actinopteri; Spariformes; Sparidae.
CUAUGGAGCUUUAGACGUCAGAGCAGCUCAUGUAAAGCACCCCUUAACAAAGGAAAAAACCAAAUGAAACCUGCCCUAAUGUCUUUGGUUGGGGCGACCGCGGGGAAAUACAAAACCCCCAUGUGGAGUAGGAAUACAUAUUCCUAGACCCAAGAGCUCCCGCUCUAAUAAACAGAAAUUCUGACCAACAAGAUCCGGCAUAUGCCGAUCAACGGACCGAGUUACCCUAG